UGAGGACGCUUCCUGUAUGAAGGCUCUCGAAGCCUUUAUGCCGAGGGCCGCGGCGGUCCUGGCCGCCUGCGUGCCCCCGGCCUUCGUCUUUGGAAUAAACAGCCAUGGAUGGUCGGCAGCAGCUCUGACCCCCCAUGGUCGUCAGCCUGUGUCUUGGAGUUGUUCUAGGAGUCAUCCUGCUCCGUGUCUUACCUCCCGAAUGUUCUAAAUACCUGAACUGAAAUAUGUCUAAAGAAAUCUCUCACCCCAGUACCACGUCUGCCGAGCAGUACAUGCUCCUCAGCUGUUCGUCUUCUCUGAAGAGUACGAGCAGAGGAGCCCUGUACUCUUCGGUCUGGCGAUGUGAGGGGAAGCCCGCUCUCCUCCUCGAGUUCUCCUGUUGAAGUACGCCAUCUUGUCCUUCUCUACCGCGAUGGACUGGGCACUGCGAGACGAUGUGACCGCAGGGGUUCCAAUGAUGGGAGGGCGUUGACAUCUGCUGACGUACUCCUCUGCUCUCCUGCAGAUUCGCCCACCCGGCCCCGGCCCUUCUUUAUCGGGGACGAUUCUUCGGCUCGCCCCGUAGGAGAUUUUUAGGUACGGGCCCGGCCCGAUCAUCCAUAUGCCCUAUCUCAGAGAGAGAGAGAGAGAGAGAGUGAAUAGAAGGAUAUUGGGUGCCACAUAAUGUGAUAGUGAGUUGUUGACCGCUUGGCAAGGAAAAAGGCCCGGCGGACUCCAAACCGGGCCCAUCGAGAAAUGGACGUGGUCUAGUGGGCCUGCUGCGGUAAGGCCCACCACGCCGUCUUUGAGACUCGAGCCAAAAUUAUUGGGCCAAUCUGAACCACCCUGUGCGCACUAUUAUCUCUGUUAGACCACGUGGAAUAACCGGCUUCUGCUACACCAGGACCCAGCAUAUGCAUAUAUAUUAAGCGAGCGAGAGAGAGAGAGAGAGAGAGAGAGAGAGAGAGAGAGAGAGAGAGAGAGAGAGNNNNNNNNNNNNNNNNNNNNNNNNNNNNNNNNNNNNNNNNNNNNNNNNNNNNNNNNNNNNNNNNNNNNNNNNNNNNNNNNNNNNNNNNNNNNNNNNNNNNUCUCUCUCUCCUCUCUCUCUCUCUCAUCGGCGGCGGGUUCUCGGCCUCGACCCGCGUCGCCAUCGCUCCUCGGCGCUGUCCCAUUCUCGUUGACGGUGCUGCGUCUCGAGGAAGGAUCUCUUUUCCGCGACUUUUGCUAUUCAUGUUGACGCUAAUGUUACGUUCCGCACGUGUGGGAAUGGCCCCCACGUGCGGUGGAUCACAGAAACCUAUGGGCGGCCCAUUUAUGAGCCCAGGAUCAACGAAAUAGUGUUAAUGGGCUAAAUAAAUGGGAUGGGCCCAUUUAAUCACUUGGACCAACAGUGAAUCACUGGGCUGACCAUCUUGACCCAGAUCGAUUGACUAUUUAUUCAGGUCAGACUCGAAGUUAAAAAUCGUGGAUACGGUUGAGGGGUUUACCAUUUAAGGUAAAACCCGUAUUUACUAUAAUUUUCCCGAUUUUUUCGAUACAACCCACAACGUGGGCGUUGCCCACUUGACGUUGACCUAUGGGCUCUCAGUGGGUCAACGUCAAAAGGAAAAGUCCACGUUAAGAGGGGCGGCGAGAUCCCCGGGUUGUCGCCGGGCCACGUGAGCUGUCCGAUCACAUCGGAGGGGCUAGCAGCGAUAAAAUAAUAUAUUCAUUAAUAUAUACUCUAAUGAUAUCAGAAAAGUCAACAGAAUAGAGAUUGGCUGGGCCUUCGCCACGUGUCAAUCCGAGGGCCGCCCUGUGACCGCCACGUGCCCCCGUUCCCACUCGAACAACAGUUGAAUUUUCUGUCCCUCCAUUCUGUGUCGGGUCUCUGAGCGGCCGUACUUUUACGCGUGAGUACCCCGACAAACCAUAUUUGUGCAGAAACCAUUAAAAAAAUUCCCUUCUGAUAAUUCCCUCGGAAUGGUCAUAAAUAAAUUCAUCCAUUCAACAAGGGUUUUUGCUUAAAAUUUGCCUCGGGCCUACCUACUAGUCCUGCCAACUAUAAAGCAUAGUAUUGAGAGAGAACCUAUUGAUAAUUUUGAGUUAUUUACUGGAAUUUACAUAGAUAAUUAUUAAACCACAAGUCAACUUAAAUUUAUAGGGACAUGCUCACAGCAUCCAUUGAUAAUUAUAUAAUGAUAGGAGCUGAUUAAUUUUAUCAAAAAAGUCAUUUUGAACUAUCUAUCAUAUCAUGAAAGUACCCUCGAAUGUAUGAUUAUGAGGGUUGGCAAACAAAUCCAUGAAAAGACCUCUCUACUCGUUUGAGUUAUUGAUGCCUUGAAUCCAAAUAUGUCAUGACCACAUACAUGUAACUGUAUCAACUUGGACACAUACUAGGUCACAUUUCUCAUGGGCCCUUCCAAGAAAAUAAUUUAAGGAAUAUUGUUUAUGUGUAAGAAAUAGAUGUUAAAGUGAAUUAACUCCUACAAACCACAUAAUGAAAGCUAUUAUUGUUUCCCAUCAUAUUAGUUCUUAUGUCCCAUGGAUCAAGAAAAUAGCAAAUGAUAGGUAGGAUAUUAUUCAAUGGCAUUUUCAUAGAUGGCAAAAAUUUAUAUGGCAUGCCAUUUUUCACUUAGGAUUAUGUGCCCUAAGCUCUUAUGUUGAAUGUAGGCCAUUUUAUCAUUAGAAAAUGAUCAUCAUUAUAAAAUUAGCAUUUUUUAAUUUGAAAAAAACAAUUAAAGUUAAAAACCCAAAGGAAAUGAAUUCGAAUGAUCAAACUGAUUCAAGUGCAUAGAGGAAGACUAUAGAAGCUAGACCAAGUUCUAUGAUUGUAACUUAUUCCUUUAUCACUAUUCUCUAUACAUAAUGGCUUGAUGAAAAACCUUUAGGGGCACUAUUGAUGAGCAAGAAAAUUUUAUUUCAAUAGAAAGUUAUCCACCCACUAUUGAUGAUCAUUUAUAUUUUGACGGAGAUAACUAUGAGAUAUGCACAUAAUGGCUCCCUAUAUAUGAUUGUCCAAAUCUUAGUCAUUCCCCACUACUAAACCAAAACCAUAAGCUUUGUACCAAAAGACCUAAUUAGUCUCUAUACAGAUUAUCUACCUUCUUAGAUAGAGGAAGGGGCAAGUGAAGCAUUUUAAAAUAUGAGAGGAAUAUGUGCAUAUAUACAUACAUACACAAGUCCAUACAUAGGAGUUAAAUGGGAUGGGGAACAAGAUCAAUCUAUUUGAGAGGAAAUGUCUAGCUCCAACUUUUAUGUUAUUCUAAAGAACAUAGUUUGAACACAAUUAUCAAGCUAUGUGGCAGGCCUCUCAACCCCUGAUAUGACACAUUUGGCAACAUAAAUGACAUUUUUCUCAUCUACCUUGAUUCCAAGGAUAUACUAAGGAAUGGAGUGCAGUUAUACUUCUUAUGUAGGAUUUUUUUGCAAUAAAACGUAGAGUAAGGGUGACAUACUAGAGAGGCGUGGGGCCAGCGAAGUUGGCCGGACCAGCUCAACCCCACCCACCUCGAGGAUCUCCCCACCGGCUCGGCGGGCCGUACGGCGGCGGCCCCCCAAAAGUCCGACCGGGUCAAGGACAAAACCUCUCCCCUCCCUUCUUUUGUCCUCUUCUCCCCCCCUCAACCCCAACAACUAAACACUACGUCUACUUAAACGUGUCUCCUUUUUUAAUGGAAAUGGCCGCCACCGGUGAACGGUUGUAGCUUACAAAAUGCAAUUUUUUUCUCAAAAAUUUGCGACAUUUAGUUACCAGGAAAAUACCUCAUCACUUGGACGAUUUGUUAUUAACGUAAUAUAUGUGUUUUUAGCAUAAUAUAUAUUAAUAUAGUAGCACUUAUGCAUAUAUUAUCAAUGUAUUAACAUGAUAUACAUAUGUACAAUGUUGGCCCUCUUUAGACAAUAUCAAUGUCUAAAAAACUUAUCAUAGUUUUAACUUUUUACACAGCCCAUCAGAGCUAGAUGGGGGCAACCAUAAAAAUUUUAUCUUGAAAAUGUGGGAAUGGAUUAUGGUGCUCAUUUGUAUAAGCCAUUGUAUCUAACUUAAGAUCAAUCUUUUUGUUAGUUUGUUGGUUAUUAGAAAUAUUGCACCAACAAUCAUAUCAGCAAUGAUUUUGUUGUUGUUAGGUUGGGCAGUAUAUCUAUUGUAGUUGGUCUCUCUUCUAGGGAAAUCAUUGAUUCUUAGCUAAAAACGUUCAAACAUAAACAAACAUAAGCAAAUAAUUUUUACAAAUGGACAAGUUCUAGGGUGCCCCCAGUACAAUGGUGACACAAAAUAAUGGCUCCUUAGAGCUUGAUCAAUGCAUGAGUUAGAGCAUGACAAUUUCCUUUCUAAGAGAAAAAAUUCUAGGUUUUGAGUAUCACAACACAUUUGGUUCUAUGAUUUCACUAGAAGGUGGGGUAAAAGUUCAGGCAAUAAUUGCCAAAUCUAAUAGUUAUGGUUGGGUUUUAAUGCAUCUCAUUAGAACACCAAAAGAAUCCUAAAUAAUAAACAUUCCAACUCAACAUGCAAGAUUUAUCACAUUAAAUGUUAUAAUGAAUUUCCCUUGCUUUACUCCAGGUUUUGAAUGUCACAACCCAUCUAGUUCUAUGUUUUCAAAAGAGGGUUGUUAAAGGCUGAGGCGAUAAUUCCCAAAUCUAAUAGUUUUAGUUGGGUUUUAAUGCAUUUCAUUAGAACACCAAAAGAGCGAUAAAUAAUAAAUAUUAUAUCUCAGCAUGCGAGAUUUAUCAUAGUUAAUAUUCUUAUGAAUUUUUAUAAUAAUAAAAUUGAUAGGCUAAAGACACUAAAGAAACUACAAAUAUAUAUAUAUAUUAAUUUUCUACGUUGUAAAAUCUCAGGAAAAUGAAUUGUCACAUGAAUUGAAUUAUUUAUUCACAAAAAUGACAUAUUGCCCCCACUAUAUUGCUCUAUAACAUGAUGCGGUCUAAUAAAAAGGCCCUUUCUAUAUGAUGAUGACAAGUCUCGUCGGCAAUAUUACGGCCUGAGAUGGUAAUACCAGCGCUUUAAAAUUUUCAAGGGAGUAAAUACGAAAAUGACGGGAAUCAGGGGAGCGAAAGCGAAACCCCGAGCGUGGUAGUGGUCCCCCUGGUGGAGCAUUUUCUCCAUGCCACCACGUGUCGAACGUGGAGGGGAGGAACGUGGGGCCUCCCGCCGCGUCCUCCCUCCCCGGCCCGAGUCAAGCGAUGACGUCAUCCAAAUAUUUCCUCUUUCCUGUAUCCUUCGUCAUCAUCUUCCGGUGUCCUGAGGGGUAUAUGAUAGAAUAAAAUUUUUACCAGGGUUAGAGAAAGAAUCAUUAAGUAGGGAGGGCUUGGGGCGGUGGCAGGGGCGUUAUUUUAUUCCCAUGUGGGGUGGACGGCUUUAAUAGCCGGCGACAGGAGCUGACGUGGCAAAAUGGGGUGCUGCAUCCAUCCGGAUAAAAUAAAAAAAAGGGCGAAAUAACGGACGCCCAACUCCCCCACGAUCUCGACCCCCCGCCCUCCCCCUCUCCCUUUCCUAUCUCUAUCUCUCUCUCUCUCUCUCUCUCUCUCUCUCAGUACACUCUCUCUGUAUCUCUCUCCUCCCAAUUUCACCAAUAAUUCGCCGGAAAAGGGAAGGCUGAGGGGAAGUAUAUAAAAAGGGCGAGAUUAGAGGCGGGGGAGGGGGGACACUCCCCACAGUCAUUCUGACAGAGAGAGAUAGGGAUGGACAGAUAGAGAGAGAGAGAGAGAGAGAGAGNNNNNNNNNNNNNNNNNNNNNNNNNNNNNNNNNNNNNNNNNNNNNNNNNNNNNNNNNNNNNNNNNNNNNNNNNNNNNNNNNNNNNNNNNNNNNNNNNNNNNNNNNNNNNNNNNNNNNNNNNNNNNNNNNNNNNNNNNNNNNNNNNNNNNNAGAGAGAGAGAGAGAGAGAGAGAGAGAGAGAGGGUGGAGAAGAGGGGGGCAAGAGGAGGGGCAGGGGAGGGGGGAGGAGCGGGGAUUGUCUCGCCGAUCGGGAACUGGUGGUGGCGCCGCUGCGAUCCGGGGAGGGUUCGCCGGAGAGGGGAGGUGCUCCGGAGGGGAUGGCCGGGAGCGAGGCGGCGGCGCCGGAGGAGGCCGGAAGGGCGGGGGAGGAGGAGGUGAGAGCGGCGGCGGGGGCUGCGGCGGUGAAGUCGCCGCUGGAGAAGCCGCUGUCGGAGCUCACGGAGGAGGACAUCGCGCAGGUCACGCGCGAGGACUGCCGUCGGUUCCUCAAGGAAAAAGGUGCUCUAGUCCUUUUCCUUUGGUUUUCCUCCUUGUUUCUCUUCUUUUCCUUUGGAGGUCGCGGUGGAGCUGAUCUCGAUAUCCACGUGGCCGCCCGCGGUGACGGCGGCUCCCGUUUUCUCUGUGCAAACGAAUGCAGGUAUGCGCCGCCCUUCGUGGAACAAGUCGCAGGCCGUCCAGCAGGUCAUCUCCCUCAAGGCGCUCCUGGAGCCCUGCCACGAUGCAGACGACGACGCACCUUCCGCCGGUGCUGUUCCCUCCAUCUCCUCCUUCUUCUCGAAAAGGCCGUCCGACGCCCUGCUUCCGGCCGCCGCGGCGCAGGUGAGGAGGGGUAUCCUGUUCCAAACUUCCGUCGCCUUCUCUUCUAGCUCGAGCUGGCAACAUUUUGUGAAAUUGUUCCUUCUCGAUUUAGUUGGAGAAACGCGUGUGGUUUAUUGUGUUCUGUUUACUUCUCAGUUUCCCGUCUCUUCUCCAAUGAGGGGUGAACCUGCCGGCGGCGCGCCCCAAAUUGUCUCCGAACGUCCCCACGGAAGGGACCCGCUGGCGAACGUCUUCACCUGCUCCGACGCCCUCGGUCGAUUCCCGGCAACGGGGAACGGUGCUCUUCCGCCAAACAGUGCCACCCUCCCGCCCAGGUGCGUCCCUUCUCAGCACAACGCCCCCUCUAUUCAACUCUUUUAUUUCCCCGGAUUGUCCCUCAGAUGUUAACGGGCGCCCAUGGUGUUGUAGAGGGGUUGCUUCCGCUGAGACGCUGGAGGGACAGCUGACAAUCUUCUACGAUGGCAAGAUUAAUGUCUAUGAUGGUGUGACGCCGGAGAAGGUGAGGUCCGGUCAGAGUAAGUUGGCGGUGACCCCUUCCUGUGGUAGAUCUAGGCACUCAUGGCAGUGUAUUUCCCGUCUUUGAAGGCGCGGGUGAUCGUACAAUUUGCGGGGAGCCCGAGCUGCUACGAUAUGCCGCCGAUGCCUUCGCCGUCUUUCUACCCAAACCGACCCCCUAAAUGCCACGACCUGGCUCUGCCAGCGUUAUCUCAAGCGACAGGUGGUGGUUCCUUCAAUCCGCCACCGCCUCCGCCGCCGUUGCAGCCACCGCCGUCUCAUCCUGCCCAGCCUAUCGGCUAUUCCCAGGUUCCCCAGAACGCUGGUACGUUUUUUUCUCCGUCAUGACUUUCCUGCGGGUUCGCCUAUGCUUGAUCACGUUCACGAUAACGCCCUGCGGUGGCCCUCCUGCUCACGUUGAGUUCUAUUGCCCUGGCAGGAAGGUUCCCGCAGCAAUUUCGGGAAGGCAUGGAAGAGUGGAGAAGCUCGCGAGAAGUUGAACCAGGUGAGAGACCUUGGACCCUUUUCUUCAGUAUCAGUCGUUAUUCUCGUUUCUCUCUGCUUAACUGACCUAUGCACCCGGCCUGAACAGGCAGGGUAUGCUGGGUGAUUGAGGAGAUUACGCCUAUAUGUCAGUCUAUUACCAUGCUACUGUUUAAGGGUGUCCUUCUGUCUAAGUUAACUAGAGUGACCUUAAGCUCCUGGAUUUCUUAACCUACCACACCCUGAUGGUACAUGGUACACUCACAGUUGACCUCAAAGCCUUUCUCAUUCCUGCGGGGGAAGAGGGUGGGGGUGGGCGUUGACUGAGAAAAUUUUGAAAGCAAAUUGCUAAUUUCUGUUGUUCUUUAUAAUGACAUUUUAGGCAUUGCGCGCAAGAUAGCUCUUUUUUCCUUUUUAAGAACUGUGCUUCUUGAUUCCAUUAGCCCGGGAUUUAGGUUCCGUUCAUUGCUUAGUUAGCCUCCCCAAUUGGCGCUGUUUAUGAACGAUUGGCCUCGACCCUCUUCAGCAUCCUUAUCAGGGAUCUUGAGAUUGAGCUUAAUCUUAUCGCCUCUUCUCAAAUGAUUAUGGCUGCCGCGUUUUUUUCCAAUUUCCAGUUGAUUUACCUAUUUUUUGGGGAGAGGAUGACUGGUACAGUAUGGCAACUUAUCCAGUUUUGAAUUGAUGCUGAUACUGUUCUUCUUUAUAAGGCCUAGAAAUUGAUGGUAAUUAAAGUAACGUGUCAGUGAUUCCAUGGAUCACAUUAAUGCCCUAAACUUCUGUGUCUUAUGCUAUUCCAAAUCUGAAAACCUUAUGAAUCAGACCAACAAUAGUAUGAAGAAAAUUUAUUUCAUGCUAGGGUCCAUGGUGUUCUAUUCAAGAACUACCCUUUUUUUGGAUCAUGCAGAUGAUCUAUUAAGAGAACAAAAUGCAGUAGAAAUAAGUUAACGAAAGACAACAAGGUCAUGUCAUUUGACGAAUGAAGAAUUUCAGAAUCAAAUUGAAGCACAUUAC
This 8482-nucleotide long non-coding RNA is filed under the name Spirodela polyrhiza (greater duckweed). Its description in RNAcentral is "long non-coding RNA (SPOL_LNC000164)". The record is from RNAcentral. Lineage: Eukaryota; Viridiplantae; Streptophyta; Magnoliopsida; Alismatales; Araceae.